Triticum aestivum (bread wheat) is the source of this 135-nucleotide non-coding RNA. Lineage: Eukaryota; Viridiplantae; Streptophyta; Magnoliopsida; Poales; Poaceae. The record is from Rfam.
CAUGUACUCCCUCCGUCCCAAAAUUCUUGUCUUAAAUUUGUCUAAAUACGGAUGUAUCAUGUCACUUUUUAGUAUUAGAUACAUCCGUAUCUAGACUAAUCUAAGACAAGAAUUUUGGGACGGAGGGAGUAUUUA